RNAcentral lists this long non-coding RNA (2418 nucleotides) under Cricetulus griseus (Chinese hamster). RNAcentral's name for it is "lncRNA (ENSCGRG00015035244.1)". Lineage: Eukaryota; Metazoa; Chordata; Mammalia; Rodentia; Cricetidae. The record is from RNAcentral.
CUUUCAGUUUUCCCUUUCAGCUUGCUGUACAGACUGCUGCCACGCUGGCUGGCUAAGUAACUCUGUGUCCCCAUGAUGGCCAUAACUUCUAGUAAAUGUGUAAUUAUAGAAUCAGCAUUUCAAAACUCAAAGCAGUUGCCCAUUGAAAUCAGAAACAAAUAUCCAUGGUAUGGUGCAUAGACUUCAAUUUUCUAAACAUUGCCAAAUGGUACACAUCCAUUUGCCAAAUUUCAUUUUUGUUGAGUACUCUUUGGGUUACUUCGAGCAAUUACUGAAGUUUGGUUAUACAACAAAAACAGAGCCUGGAAGCAACCUAGAUGCCCCUCAACUGAAGAAUGGAUGGAGAAAAUGUGGUACAUUUAAACAAUGGAGUACUAUUCAGCAGGAAAAAAAACAAUGGAAUCUUAAAAUUCACAGGCAAAUGGAUGGAACUAGAAGAAACCAUCUGGAGUGAGCUGAUGGAAGCAGAAGCAGAGAUCCACAGCCGAGCACUGAGCCAAACUCCUGGAAUCCAGUUUCAGAGAGGUAGGAGUGAUGAACAAAGGGGUCAAGACCAUGCUGGGAAAAGCCACAGAAACAGCUGACCUGAACAAGUAGGAACUCAUAGACCCCAGUCUGACAGCUGGGGAACCAACAUAGGAACCAACCAGGCACCCUGAACCUUUACUUGAGUUGUCAAUAACACCAAGAAAAAAAUCAACAUCAAAACCUAAGAAAUUUAGAUGAUGAUAUAUACUGAGCAAAGUGUAUGUGAUUUUAGCCAAACAUAAAUAGUAUGCAACAUAUGGAAAUUUAUGCUAGAAAUGGAAAAGUUGAUAUGUUGAAAUUUAUGAUAUUUAUAAUUAUGUAUUAAUACACCUUCUUUCUCAGAUGGUUUAUAUUUCAGUCUGAAUUUUUUACUGCAACUUAGACAAAGUUCAAAAAAAAACUGGCAGUUUAUAUCUUUAGCAGUCUAUUUGAUAAUCAUAAAGAAAGUCUCUUGUCCCUUACCUCAAGCAACACUUCUUACCAGCAUGUAAGCAUAGGUACUUACCAGAAUAUGGUGAGCUCAGAACAGUGUAUUCUCUUUUCUAAGAUAGAAAUAACGGUAUGAAUAAUUAGCAUGAGUGUUAUCUUCACAUUAAAAGGCAGUACACAUUGUCUUUGGAUCUUACUCAUGACUUUGGGAUUGGCAGAAAUUUUCCAAUUUUAUUCUUCCUGCCACCCCUCUUGUAUAUAGAAAAUGUAACCAUUUAUCUCUUUAUUCUUAAUUCUUGAUAUCACAUAAGGUGUUAAUCUUUUCUCCAAGGGUCAGAAUAGCUUCUGGUAAAUCAUAAAACUGAUGUUCUGGGAAGAAUUGCUGUAAUUGCUGUUCUAACAGAUUUCUUUGUGCCUUUUCAUCUAUGGAGUAAAGAAAAAGAAAUUUCCCUUUACUAAUUGUCUUUGCUUCUCCUUUGAGUGCCAAUUUCAUUUUGUAGGACUAUUUUAAAACUUUUCUUUAGAAAAUGAUUUCUGUCAUUCUUUAUAAUAUCUAAUUCUCGUGGCAUUCAUUAUACAGGAUUUCUACUGCCGCCUUUUUUUAUUUGACACAUAAAUGUUUUCUUUUCCAAUUUUUACAUAUUUGCAAUGUUUAUACUCUCUACUGCAGAAUAUAUCUACUUAUAUUUUAAUCCUCAGUCCAUUAUAAACUCACUUUAAAAUCCAAUAAAUAAAAACUAAUUUUAAACAUGAUCCAUGCAAAGAGAAAUGAUAUUGCUGGGGAAGUAGCUAUUAGAACCCACCUAACAUGACCUUGAGACACCUCGGCCAUCCUAAACCGAGAGGUAAAAGCACUCCCCCAACUCAGAACUUGAGAUGAGAUCACCAUCAUAAUCAAUUAUGUCUUUGGCUCCUUUCCAACUGCUUAGGCUCAUGGAUUGUGGGCUUAUAGUAGUCCUCUCCACUGCCAUAACAAUGUACCACAGACUGCAUGGCUUCAAAGGCCUACAUUUAUUUUUUCACAUUUCUAUAGACUGGAAGUCCAAUUUGAAGAUGCCAAUUCUGCUUUGUCAGUUGUCAAAUAGACAAAUGACAUUUCUUAUACAGCCAUUCCUCAGCACAUAUUCAUGUGUAUACACACACACACACACACACACACACACACACACACACACACAGAGAGAGAGAGAGAGAGAGAGAGAGAGAGAGAGAGAGAGAGAGAAUAGCAAUGGAAAGCUCUUAUCAAAAAGAAACUAGUCAGGUGGAAUUGCUGAAGGUGAAAAGCAUGAUAAGAAUAUUUUGCAUUAUGUUUUCUAUAAAAUAAACAAGGAAAAUAUAUAUCAACCAUAUCAGAUUAUAAGCUCACUCUUAAUGACCUCAUUUAACAUUUAAUCCAUUGUUCAUUGUAAGAUUUAUUUAUUUUUAUUUAUUUAUAUUUGCGUGUGUAUUUGUGUGUGUGUG